AUAGUUUCGUGUGCGGGGGUGCAUACCUAUGUUUUCUUACUUCAGGAUGAAUAUAUACACAUACAAAUAUUUCCUUCCUUUCUGAAGUUAUUCUUUUAACUGCUAUAUUUCUCAUAAUGUCAGUGGGAGUCACUAGGCAAUGACCUUUAUUUUUCUCAUACUCAGCUGACCAAUUGAUAUAUUGGUUGUGCUUUUCAAAAAUAUUUGCUUUGCAGUGGAGCGUUUCUUCAAUUCGGAGAAAAGUCAAAAGCUUGUCACUCGUCCUGGACUCAAAACAAAAUUGAAGGAGAAGCCUGAAACUUCAGUUCCAAAGAUUGAAUUAGUCACAGGUACAUAGCAAGUAUAGCAUUAGCAUGAAUUCAGUAGCAAAAGGUGGUCUAGUAGAAAGGUGAUUUUGCAGUUCUUUACUUAAAGUUCAACUACUAAGUGAAAUUAGCAUGUUGCUGGAAUCCACAGAAUCAAAGAUCUUAGCUACUACUUCCGGUAAACAAACAUGUUUUUCUGGUGAGAAUACUGAACGGAAGCCUAAACCCUCAAUAAAUAAGGAUGGGAGAGGGGAAGUUUCUUUCAGUCAAGAAAAAGAUAGAGGUAAAGUGAAAUUUUCCGAGGAUCUCUCAAACAGAAGUGUAUCAGAUAUUCGGCCACUGAAGAAAAGGAAGCUUGAAUGGUUUUCAGGUCAAUCUUUGUCAGAACUUUUACCCAUUCUUCUAACCCCCCCCCCAAAAAAAAAAAAAAAAAAAAUUAUUACCAAAAUUGUGUCUGGGCAUUAACAGUUGUUUAAAAAAAAAAGGAAAAAAAAACCUGCAAAGUUAUCUGACCCUCUCCAAGAUCACUUAAUUAUUGAGCAAAAUUUCUAGAUUCCAAGGCUGCUGUUAGUGAGAACAGAGAACUAACCAAGGGAAAUUAUCCGGAGAAGGCAAGUUACUUUUCUGAUGAAGCAGCUUCUCAACUUAAACUGGAAAAGGGUGUCAAAACUAAGACCCAAAUUGGGGAGGUUACAAGAAGGCCUGAUAUGGAUAUGAGCAAAUGGUUCAAGCCACAAUCUUGGGAGGACAAGAUGCAGAGAGCUUCUGAGAAAGGCACCCUUGUAUUACUAGAAAACCUUGAUCCUUCCUAUACAACAUCAGAAGUAGAGGUAUAUUUAUGAUAGUCAUGCUCGUUAAAUAAUUUU
Long non-coding RNA from Cornus florida, 1171 nucleotides. RefSeq lists it as uncharacterized. The record is from RefSeq and is a predicted model, not a curated record. The transcript has 3 exons. Lineage: Eukaryota; Viridiplantae; Streptophyta; Magnoliopsida; Cornales; Cornaceae.